GCGUUAUCCGGAGUUACUGGGCGUAAAGCGCGUGUAGGUGGGUUGGUAAGUUACUUAUGAAAGCUCCUGGCUAAACUAGGAGAGGUUGAGUGAUACUGCCAGUCUUGAAUAGAGGAGAGGUUGACGGAAUUCCGCGUGUAGUGGUGAAAUUCGUAGAUAUUCGGAAGAACACCAGUGGCGAAGGCGGCAUCCUGGACCAAUAUUGACGCUGAGGAGCGAAAGCCAGGGGAGCAAACGGG
This 239-nucleotide ribosomal RNA is filed under the name uncultured bacterium. Its description in RNAcentral is "partial 16S ribosomal RNA". It matches the Rfam family "Bacterial small subunit ribosomal RNA", at positions 538 to 776 of the family's 1533-position model. The record is from RNAcentral.